RNAcentral lists this ribosomal RNA (166 nucleotides) under uncultured Vibrio sp. RNAcentral describes it as "partial 16S ribosomal RNA". It matches the Rfam family "Bacterial small subunit ribosomal RNA", at positions 365 to 525 of the family's 1533-position model. Lineage: Bacteria; Pseudomonadati; Pseudomonadota; Gammaproteobacteria; Vibrionales; Vibrionaceae. The record is from RNAcentral.
CCCGUGUUGGGCGCAGUCUGAUGCAGCCCGCCGCGUGUGUGAAGAAGGCCUUCGGGUUGUAAAGCACUUUUGGUAGGGAGGAAGGGGUGGUAGUUAAUAACGCUGGCAUGUGACCUUACCCACAGAAGAAGCACCGGCUAACUCCGUGCCCGCCGCCGCGGUAAUA